ACCUUCGGCUAGCAAGGUGCCUGAGAGCUGUAACUGCGCCAAGGGUUAACAUAAUGUGUGUUGUCUCUUCGUGUGCAGCUAGCAGAGCCAAGCAUUUGCUGGUGUACAUCAACCCUUAUGGGGGCAAGCAGCAAGUGCAUUUAUGAGCAGAAAGUCUCGCCUCUCUUCGCCUGUGCCUCCAUCUCCACGGAUGUGAUUGGUGAGUGCCUGCCAAAGACAUUAAACAUGAUUUAAUAAUAGAUGAGUCUUUAUGGGCCAAGUCAAAUUGUUCACUCUAGGCAAAUGGGCACAAGCUCUCUCAGGCCGCACAGGAAUAUGACAUCAUUUACGGCCGCCAUCUAUCAUCCUAGUUCCUCAUUGGAAAGGAUGAUGGUCGUUGAAUACUGGAUUCCUUUACAUCCCGUUUACUUCUCAGACUAGCGAAAGACUGUGAACAUUUGUCAAAGUCAUAUAUUUUGACGAAUUGCA
Salvelinus fontinalis (brook trout) is the source of this 468-nucleotide long non-coding RNA. RefSeq lists it as uncharacterized. The transcript is spliced from 3 exons. Lineage: Eukaryota; Metazoa; Chordata; Actinopteri; Salmoniformes; Salmonidae. The record is from RefSeq and is a predicted model, not a curated record.